GCAUAAACAAGUAGAGCAAGGACCAGAACCAUAACAAUAAUUAUUGCAAAUAGCUGACAUGUUAACCAACUUUAAACAGACUAACCAGCUACCAGAUACAAUCUGUAUCAUAAACCCUAGGUAAAUAUGGGCAAAGUAUAUUAUUCCCAACAGUUGUUUUCCUCCUUCGUCCACGCAAGUGGGCGCAUAUAGUCAAAGUGGGAAUAAUACCUAUCCCCCGUCCAAGGACCCGGGUCUAGGAUUACCAGUCCACCCGAUGAUCUGGGGCCAGGCAAAAACCCAGUGGCAAAAACUCAUAUUUG
Molecule: non-coding RNA, 302 nt
Organism: Pelobates cultripes (western spadefoot toad)
Lineage: Eukaryota; Metazoa; Chordata; Amphibia; Anura; Pelobatidae
Source: the annotation of a GenBank genome assembly